UCUUCCUAUCCAACUCUCUUCUCUCCACUCCUCUCUCCAACUCAUAGACGUGUGGGCCCCAUAACAUCAUCCACUUCCGGCAGCAGCACCCAGCCUAGACCUCCCGCGGCCGCCUCCUCCUCUCUCGCUCCGGACUCCACGGCAGGCAGGGGCACGUCCUCCAUGGCAAGCGAGGGGCGAUAGUGGAGCGCACGGGAUGAGAAGAUAUGGAGCCCUCUUGGCUCGGGAUCUUUGCUGAGCGAGAUAGCGGGGACGGUCAGUGGAAUAGCGAGGGGAAUAGCGGGGACGGUUCAGAAACAUUCAGUUUUGACUCCAUGCAAACAGCAAUGUUCAGAGCUCUUUUUGAACAGGAUGAAGCUCGAAUCAAGGAAAGUGUACAAUGUAAAACAGAAUCUAAAGUCGAGGUUGUCUAGAUCAAGCUCGUCAAUCCGACGGCUGAAGUUUUGGAAGAGGAGAAAGAAAGUUGAUCAAGAUAAGGUUUGCCAAGGAACUCCAAGCCGAAGCUUCACUUCGUGAAGAGAAGUCAGGCAAGCACCGGAGCAUCUAGGCCUACUAUUUUCGAUUAACUUAUGUUAAUAUUUUAUGAACUGCAUCUGAAUGCUUAGGUCUAGGAGUUGCGUGAUCAAGCUAUUUGAUGCAUGUAUACCUUUCUUGAGCUAAGGAUAUCUUUGCCACCUACUCAGAAAAGAUUAGUCAAACAUUAGUCAACCGUAGUCUAUACCUAGCUCCAGCACCUCGAUACUGUCAUACCCAGCUCAAUUAAAAACAAGGUUCCUCUUAAAUGCGCUCUAUCGAGCGGAAUGUAUGGCUGGUUGUUGAGUGCAGAGCAGAAAUGGAGUUUUGGCUAUGUCCUCACUUCCAGAAAGAAAGAUAUAAGGAACUUAUGGCAUGUUUAAUCUUGAUCAAGCUUUGGAUAUAUUGGUCACAUGCUGACAUAUGGAACCAGUAUGCCGAAUAGUGUGGUUGACCUAAAUACUUGAACCAGGAUUUCUACCCCACGGGAGGGGGGGUCAUAGCCUGAAACCCGUAUUGUGAUCGGGCCUGAUGGAGGGUCAAAUACGGGGUUGCGAACUUGGGUCUGAGUAGACUAGUUCAGGGUUUAGUAUCUUCCUCAUGAAAGGUUACCACGUAGGGUUUGCUAGGAACAUGUACGUGAUGUGUGGCUAGGUAUCUCAUGCAGGAUGUCGCACUUCUUGGUUAUGAAUAGCGCUUGAUGUCGCUUGAACAUCGUAGAGUAACGAGAUGCAAUGAUCAUAAAAGUUGAGUGCUGAACUAGUUUAUUACAUGCUGGUUUGAUGAGGUACUAGAUGUCAUAGGUUACGGUUUAAUUGUUGUUUCCUUCUAUAGUAGAUGUAUAUAUUUCAAGUCCAAUGCUUUCAACCAACAGACCAGUCCACUCAACAAGCCUUGCAUAUUCUUGGAUCCUACUUUUAUACUUGUGUAGUCAGGUCAGUUUUGCUGAGUACCUUCGUACUCAGAGGAGCUUGGAGGUCAAAGACUUCAAAGCCUAGAGGGUAUCAUGAGUCCAUAUACCUCUAGAUGUUUUCAAAAACUUAAAACCUUGUAAUAAGGUAAGUUUAACAAUCAAACCCUACGACCGCGGGAUCUAUGUGUGAAACUCUGUAGAACUAGUUUGCACUAAGGUUUGUGCUUAAGGUGUAAUAAAUCUCAUCUUGUUUUUCCAAUCUACAAUCAAUAUCUGUGUGUAAAAUCUGAUGCUCCUAUGCAAAAUGAUCUUGUAUGCAUGUCUAAGACAUGGUUGCACAGUGGUUGAAUCAGGUGAAACCUGACGGACUACCGGAUUUGUUCCAUUUUAAGAGAGUUAGCUGGAUCUUUGUAAAAGGGUGAUCAAACGCUCUUAAGAUGGGAUAAAUUGGGCGGUUCCGCCACAUGUGUGCUUGGGGUUUAGAGUUCCGCACAGGUUUAUGGGGACAGGGCGGGCGUAGUGCACCAGGAGGCCUCGCAGGCUGUGGUCGGGGCCACCAAGGCGGGUCUCGCAGGCUCGGUCCAUCCAAAGGGGGUUUAGCUUUCUGAAUUAUUCAGAUAAAAUAUUU
Molecule: long non-coding RNA, 2054 nt
Organism: Panicum hallii
Lineage: Eukaryota; Viridiplantae; Streptophyta; Magnoliopsida; Poales; Poaceae
Exons: 3
Source: RefSeq, a predicted model, not a curated record